This 969-nucleotide ribosomal RNA is filed under the name Fusarium tricinctum. Its description in RNAcentral is "partial large subunit ribosomal RNA". It matches the Rfam family "Eukaryotic large subunit ribosomal RNA", at positions 1 to 976 of the family's 3401-position model. Lineage: Eukaryota; Fungi; Ascomycota; Sordariomycetes; Hypocreales; Nectriaceae. The record is from RNAcentral.
CGUGACGGCCCGCCAGAGGACCCAAACACUAAUUUCUUAUUGUAACUUCUGAGUAAAACAAACGCAUAUCAAUAAGCGGAGGAAAAGAAACCAACAGGGAUUGCCCUAGUAACGGCGAGUGAAGCGGCAACAGCUCAAAUUUGAAAUCUGGCUUUCGGGCCCGAGUUGUAAUUUGUAGAGGAUACUUUUGAUGCGGUGCCUUCCGAGUUCCCUGGAACGGGACGCCAUAGAGGGUGAGAGCCCCGUCUGGUUGGAUGCCAAAUCUCUGUAAAGUUCCUUCGACGAGUCGAGUAGUUUGGGAAUGCUGCUCUAAAUGGGAGGUAUAUGUCUUCUAAAGCUAAAUAUUGGCCAGAGACCGAUAGCGCACAUGUAGAGUGAUCGAAAGAUGAAAAGCACUUUGAAAAGAGAGUUAAAAAGUACGUGAAAUUGUUGAAAGGGAAGCGUUUAUGACCAGACUUGGACUUGGUUAAUCAUCUGGGGUUCUCCCCAGUGCACUUUUCCAGUUCAGGCCAGCAUCAGAUUUCGCCGGGGGAUAAAGGCUUCGGGAAUGUAGCUCUCUUCGGGGAGUGUUAUAGCCCGUUUGUAAUACCCUGGCGGAGACUGAGGUUCGCGCUUCUGCAAGGAUGCUGGCGUAAUGGUCAUCAACGACCCGUCUUGAAACACGGACCAAGGAGUCGUCUUCGUAUGCGAGUGUUCGGGUGUCAAACCCCUACGCGUAAUGAAAGUGAACGCAGGUGAGAGCUUCGGCGCAUCAUCGACCGAUCCUGAUGUUCUCGGAUGGAUUUGAGUAAGAGCAUACUGGGCCGGACCCGAAAGUAGGUGAACUAUGCCUGUAUAGGGUGAAGCCAGAGGAAACUCUGGUGGAGGCUCGCAGCGGUUCUGACGUGCAAAUCGAUCGUCAAAUAUGGGCAUGGGGGCGAAAGACUAAUCGAACCUUCUAGUAGCUGGUUUCCGCCGAAUAAAACAAAC